GCCACACCCUUGAUGGAGGGCCCCGGUGGGUGAGGUCUGUAGCUCCUGGAAACAGACCCCAGAGCGGCGGCAAGAAAGGAGUUGGUCUCCACAAUCCGCCCAAAGCCAAGAAGACUUUGGAUAAGUCAUUAUGGAGAAAGCUAAGGAUCCCUGCGUUGUCUUGAAAGCACACCAGCCGGGAAAUCAGAAGGCCUGGGUUUGAAUUCCAGUUACUCACAAAUGUAAGUGAAAGCGGGCAGGCCAGUGACUCCACCUCAACCACACCAUGGAGGAUGUCUCUGUGGUCUCAUGUCCACCUUCAUUUGCAAGAUGUCUGCCACAGUUCCAGAUAAUCCGUGGGAUCUCAGGGAAAAGAAGACAACUUCUCCUGUAUUGUGACAACUAGCAAGCACACAAAAGUGAACAUCACGUGGGCCUUGACCUGGAGAGCUAGCAAGCAAACCGGCAUCCCAUGUCAUUUCAAAAUUGUAUAGUAAGCAAGGAGAGGCAUGCAGUGUUCUGGAAGCACAGAGAAGGAUCCCUCAGCUCUACUGAGGAAUGAUUCCUGGGGAGAGACCAAGUGGACUGGCUAUAGAUGCUGAGAAUGAGUUUGACUAUAAAGACAAUGCUGUAAGAUAAAGAUGCAGACAUACACAGUGUUUGAAGAAGUCUGGAUGAAAAUAACUCGCACUACCGUCUAUGCGGCUGCCCCACAGCCAGAGUGGAGAAGUACUGACAUUGUAGAAACCUUCACUUUCUAUGUACUGUUUACUUUUUUGUACAGUGCUAGUGAAUUAUCAGAAAGAAAAACAUAAAUUUUUCCAAGUGAGGGGAAAAAGUAAAAAAAAAAAAAAAAAAGAAAGAAAGGAAGAAAGAAAGAAAGAAAGAAAGAAAAAGAAAGAAAGGAAAUCCAGUUCUCCCAACGCCCUUUUGCAUGAAGCUUGCAUGAAGUGCUCUGGUCUGCUCUAUGCAAAAACAGGGUUUGACUCCGCCUAUCACCUGGCUCCUCCAAGCUUACUCUCACCACCUUCCCUUUUAAAUCCCACCUGCCAGGGAAGCCUUUGUAGUCAGAGUGGGAUCUCUCCUCUGAUCCAACUUAUCUACCCCAGGCUUACCCAACUAGAAAAACUGGAAAAUAAAAGUCAAAAACAGUACGUUCAAACAAGACGCUGAAAACUGGCCCAACCUGUACACGAAACCAACAUGUCUUAUUCGAGUACCAUGAGUUUGUACAAGGAGCUAGCAGCCCGCUGGGAGGAAAGGAAACGCAGGCUGGAGACCCAGGCCCUAGUGCAUCCCUGCCAUUUUUUGAACUCCACCAUUUUUCUCACCUGCUCAUCCUAUCUGUUACUCUAACUCAGGAGGCUGAUAAGAGAAUCUGGGGAGGCAGGAGCAGUGCUAUGGAAAUAAAAGGUGAUUAGUCAUAUCAUCGUGUGAGCCCUGGAGGACAGGAUUUGUAUUGUGGGUUUGGUAUGAAUAUUGCCUAGAAAAUGAGGAGAACCCAAGAUGUUCAUUAACACAAAUGUGCUUUGAUUUUACGAAGAAAAUGCUGUGACAAUCCAACCCGAAUGAUUUCUCUUUUCAAUGACUUUUCACCUGAGGAUCUCAAAAUGUCUCUUCCAGUCUUCCAUCACAACUGCCCCAUAAUGAGUGUGGGCUGCUACUAGGCCACCAAUAGUAGUGUUGACACAUUUUCCAGCAUUUCCCCCCCUCCCCAUCAUGAAUAAUACGUUUCUCGUUACUGGUGAGAGCCAUUAUAACAGGAAGGAAGAGCAGCUCAGAUGUGUCUGAGCGCUGGGAGUUUAGAAAAGAAACCUUGGGUGGAACUGGAAGAGGAGACUGAGCAGGCUGAGGGGAAGUAGCCAAGCAGAGAUUUCUAAAGCCAAUGCGAUGACUUAACCCUACAUACUGUGCAGGUCUUCUUGACUCUUUGUUUGAACCCUGUUAUUACUCUAGUUACAGAAGAUUCCACAAGCUGGCGCACAAAGCAAGAGACAGCAGUGUUCCUUGUAAGCUGAGAAGAUAUUUAGAUGACAAGGUUGACUACCGGUAGUGGCUGAAUUGUGUCCCCCAAAAUAGAUAUGCUGAAGUACUAGCCUCCAAACCUCAGAAUGUGAUCUUAUUUGGAAAGAGGGUCUUUACAGAUUUAAUCAGGUUAAAACGAGGCCAUUAGGGUGGGCACUAAUCCAAUAUGACUCGUGUCUUUCUAAAAAGGGGAAAUUUGAAUACAGAGACAGACACACAGACAUACAGAGGGAAGAAGAUGUGGAGACACAGGAAGAACACCGUGGAGGGGCA
This is a long non-coding RNA of Leopardus geoffroyi (Geoffroy's cat), 2277 nucleotides long. RefSeq lists it as uncharacterized. The transcript has 5 exons. Lineage: Eukaryota; Metazoa; Chordata; Mammalia; Carnivora; Felidae. The record is from RefSeq and is a predicted model, not a curated record.